RNAcentral lists this ribosomal RNA (460 nucleotides) under uncultured bacterium. Its description in RNAcentral is "partial 16S ribosomal RNA". It matches the Rfam family "Bacterial small subunit ribosomal RNA", at positions 338 to 795 of the family's 1533-position model. The record is from RNAcentral.
CCUACGGGGGGCAGCAGUGAGGAAUAUUGGUCAAUGGGCGGGAGCCUGAACCAGCCAAGUCGCGUGAGGGAAGACGGUCCUAUGGAUUGUAAACCUCUUUAGGCGGGGAGCAAUGCCGGGCACGCGUGCCCGGAGGGAGAGUACCCGCAGAAUAAGCAUCGGCUAACUCCGUGCCAGCAGCCGCGGUAAUACGGAGGAUGCGAGCGUUAUCCGGAUUUAUUGGGUUUAAAGGGUGCGCAGGCGGCGAGUUAAGUCAGCGGUAAAAUUUCGGGGCUCAACCCCGACAAGCCGUUGAAACUGGCUUGCUAGAGUGGGCGAGAAGUAUGCGGAAUGCGUGGUGUAGCGGUGAAAUGCAUAGAUAUCACGCAGAACUCCGAUUGCGAAGGCAGCAUACCGGCGCCCAACUGACGCUCAGGCACGAAAGCGUGGGUAUCGAACAGGAUUAGAUACCCCUGUAGUC